UGGGGGAAUAUUGCACAAUGGGCGGAAGCCUGAUGCAGCGACCGCCGCGUGGGGGAUGAAGGNCUUCGGGUNGUAAACUCCUUUCGACAGGGACGAAGCGUAAGUGACGGUACCUGUAUAAGAAGCACCGGCUAACUACGUGCCAGCAGCCGCGGUAAUACGUAGGGUGCGAGCGUUGUCCGGAAUUACUGGGCGUAAAGAGCUCGUAGGUGGUUUGUCGCGUCGUCUGUGAAAUUCCGGGGCUUAACUCCGGGCGUGCAGGCGAUACGGGCUGACUUGAGUGCUGUAGGGGAGACUGGAAUUCCUGGUGUAGCGGUGAAAUGCGCAGAUAUCAGGAGGAAUUCCGAUGGCGAAGGCAGGUCUCUGGGCAGUAACUGACGCUGAGGAGCGAAAGCAUGGGUAGCGAACAGGAUUAGAUACCCUGGUAGUCCAUGCCGUAAACGGUGGGCGCUAGGUGUAGGGGGCUUCCACGUCUUCUGUGCCGUAGCUAACGCAUUAAGCGCCCCGCCUGGGGAGUACGGCCGCAAGGCUA
This 532-nucleotide ribosomal RNA is filed under the name uncultured bacterium. RNAcentral describes it as "bacterial SSU rRNA". It matches the Rfam family "Bacterial small subunit ribosomal RNA", at positions 354 to 896 of the family's 1533-position model. The record is from RNAcentral.